AGUUGGAUUGAAGGCUGGAACACGAAGGAACAGACAGUUUUAAGGGAACCAACCAGCAGAUGAAAUGUGUAGCUGGUUGGGGUAAGAAGAAUGACAUUUUUAAAAAGAAGGAAAAACAAAAAUCCAACUGUUUUUUGUGGAUGAAAGUUCCUGGAAAGGAGAUGAACCUGCUUGCCCACAGCAAGGACCUCAGCAGCUGCGCCGGAGAGACUGGAAUGUUCCAGGUCCUGAGCCAAAUUACUUUGGGCCAAUCAUUAGCCUCUUUAACAGCCUUUGCUUGCCCUUCUGUAUGCGUCCCAGCAGCUCUGGGGCCCUUAGGUAAGUCUGUCUUCCACCAAGCACAAGGCUGAGAGUCCAUCAGCUGCUGUCUGAGGCCCAUGUCUGCUGUGCCUUUGUCCUUCUGGGACCUGCCUGCCCGCGUGUAUGAAAAGGGUCUUGAUUAAUGAUUCCCUUUGUUCUGGUACUAUAAAGCUUCCGGGAACAGUUACUCUAUCCGAACAUUAUGUAUGUAAAACAAACAAACAAAAACAAAACAGAGAACUCUGUUCCCAAGCCGUGGCCAUCCCUGUAGGCUCCAGAAUAAACUCUCUCU
RNAcentral lists this long non-coding RNA (592 nucleotides) under Mus musculus (house mouse). RNAcentral describes it as "long non-coding RNA chr10:42089609-42090201". The record is from RNAcentral. Lineage: Eukaryota; Metazoa; Chordata; Mammalia; Rodentia; Muridae.